Bombyx mori (domestic silkworm) is the source of this 84-nucleotide non-coding RNA. The record is from Rfam. NCBI's taxonomy places the organism in Eukaryota, Metazoa, Arthropoda, Insecta, Lepidoptera, Bombycidae.
UUAGCUCAUAUUUGUAUGGAAUGGGAUCGUUUGCGUACGUUUGCCGCUAGGGGCGCUGUUCCAACUGCAUACAAAAUUGGCUUA